UCGGUCAGAUCCUGCUGAGCCCUGCUGACUCCAAACACAGGAUGCUAAAAAUGAAAUAAGGGGAGGGGCGGGGCGAGCCCCGCGGCGUGCCGUGCACUGUGGGCUUGCAGCCUCGGGGAAGGGACUAUCCGGGUAGUAACUACACAGAUACACGGCGCGGAAUACGGAAGACUUUCCGUUUGUUGUUUAGCUGCCUCUGCGAUGUUGGAGUGCUGGGCGUGGGCAUGAAGGGCCCUAGGAUAAGUAUCCAGAUGCACCCUUUUGAUUCCCGUGGUGAGCCAGCCCUGUUCCAGAGAGGACCCCUUCUUCCCCAAACACACACAGCCUGCCGGGAGCAUGGAACCAAGAGGGGCUGGGAAAGAUCCGGGAAACCAUUGCUUCAAGCAAAAAAAGAGUCAAUACCAUCUGGCCACAGGAUGACCUUCAAAGUUGAAAAUCAGGGCAGUCUCAAGACAGACACCGGAAAACGACGGGAGACCUCCUUCUCACAAAUAAUUCUAAGCUUCCCAUCACUCCCAAAACAGUUCCCUGCUAGGAAGUAACUGGAGCCACUGUGCACCCCAUCUUUCUUCCAAGGAACCUUCCGCCCCUGACUCCCUGUAGUCAACUGUAGAAGACAACCCCCACCCAGAGCCAGCCAGAACAUCCCAUCCCUCUGGCCACUACUGAUGUUCUGGAAAAGACACACAAACCCAGGGGGACCAUCAGAGUUCUCGCAGGGAACUGUGAGACCUGGACCGUAAGAGGCAGAGCUUUCUUUCCCUGUUCUGCUGGUGUUGACAAGUUCUAAGGAGAGUGUUUGUCUGGCUAGGAAGAUGGAGGCAGUGACAAAGCACUUUCAUUGCUGGAACCCCUCCAUCCUGCACUCCUAAGUUCAUGCCCAUUAUCCAUCCUUGGCCCUUCCCAAGUGGCUGGGUAACCACUUUUAACCUUUAAACAAGCUCGUUCUUCUCAGUGCCCCGUGACCUCACCCGUUAGGUGGGCUGAUGAUCAAUCCUGGUCACCUCGUGAGAUGGUUUCAAGGAUUCGAGGGAGGGGUCAGCACUUGAAACUAUGCCUGGCACAUAGUGUGCAUCUUAUAAAUGCUGGCGCUCAUUAUUAUUACUCUCUGUUAUGGAAUCCUCUGCUCUACCUUCUGACCUUGAACUAGUGUGAAUUAGAUUUCAGUCACUUGCAGCUAAAUAGUUUUGAUUAGAAUCAUCAGUUUGACAAGGAAGCUAAAAGUCAGAGGCCCAAAGCCAGUUUAUGAGAAAAUCCUUACAAGUAGUUUCUAGAUUGACCCUCUAACCCUUAGCGUCUUCCUCACCCAGUGCAUGCAUUAUCUCCCCAAAGAGAUGAUAAAUGAUAAAUCCCAGAUCUCACUGAUGUUUCUUUGCUCAGAUGGAACCUAGCUGGACUGGGUGCUUAAUAAAAACCAUGAGUUAGUUAUGUUUGGACAA
Long non-coding RNA from Callithrix jacchus (white-tufted-ear marmoset), 1439 nucleotides. RefSeq lists it as uncharacterized. Lineage: Eukaryota; Metazoa; Chordata; Mammalia; Primates; Cebidae. The record is from RefSeq and is a predicted model, not a curated record.